UGUCACACCCCCUCCCCACCCUGAAGUGUCCCCAGGGCUGUCCCCAGCAGGGUCUUGCAGUGCCAGCCCUGCCUCAGUGUCCCCAAAGCCCUGGAGAUGUCCCCAGGUCCCUGGAGGGGUCCCCAAAACCCUGGGAAUGUCCCCAAACCUGUGGUGAUGUCCCCAGGUGUCCCCAAAACCCUGGGAAUGUUUCUGUCCAAGCCCUUCCUCAGUGUCCCCAAAGCCCUGGAGGUCUCCCCAGACCUGUGGAGAUGUCCCCAGGUGUCCCCAAAGCCCUGGAAAUGUCCCCAAAGCCCUGGAAGUGUCCCCAAAG
This is a long non-coding RNA of Poecile atricapillus (Black-capped chickadee), 313 nucleotides long. RefSeq lists it as uncharacterized. The transcript is spliced from 3 exons. NCBI's taxonomy places the organism in Eukaryota, Metazoa, Chordata, Aves, Passeriformes, Paridae. The record is from RefSeq and is a predicted model, not a curated record.